This 2480-nucleotide long non-coding RNA is filed under the name Musa acuminata (dwarf banana). RNAcentral's name for it is "long non-coding RNA (MACU_LNC009695)". The record is from RNAcentral. Lineage: Eukaryota; Viridiplantae; Streptophyta; Magnoliopsida; Zingiberales; Musaceae.
GAAUGACACAGUGCCUAACGAACCUAGCUCUAAAACGGAGGCUUUCACUUUUGACCUAGAACCUUGCUUUUACUACUCAACACCUUACUCGGGGAGGGUAUCCUUUCCUCUUGGAUUGAGUCUCUAACUCUAUUGUCUAUGAACCUGCCUUUGCUGACUUUGAUUCACCAAGCAAUACAACUAACAGAAAUGUCACUCGAUACCCCCGGGAUACUAUGUUUGAUUGUUAGCAUGCCACCACGGAGAGAAACUCCUAUGCUUUGGGUUUAGUCUGAGAACUCCCGUCAAUGCUUCCAAGUCGGCUACCUUGUCCAUGCCUGGAUGCGCUAAGUAAUAUUCUAAAUAUGAGUAAAUAAACUGGAUCAUAUGAUUAAUAUAAGUAAAUGAUCUAAUCAGCAAUAAAAGAAUCAGAGACUCCGCAAUAAAAGAAUCAGAGACAGCAGUGCCAGUCUCUUAGUAAGUAGUUGUAGUCUUAUUAGGAGUAUCAGUACCGCCAAGCUACUACAAAUAUAAUCAGAAUCAGAAUUAAGGUACGAUGUAGUGCAUCUAACAAUUAAGUAAAGAACACGGAAUGAAACUUGCAACUAUAAGAAUUGGCUACUGUCUAACAGGCUUAACUCUAAACUACAGAAAUGACACUCAGACAGGGCUUUCACUAUUCACUAUCAGAUUGAUUGAGCUAAUCCAUAACAGCAAUGCAACUAAUAAUGGUAAUACUGGAAAUUGAAACAAAUACUUGAGCGAUUAACUUAACUACAAGAACCGGACUACUCACUUGGAUUCUGACUUUGCUUCGUCUAAGUUUCCUAUUGCUCUAUCUCAUUCUCUUCCUAAUGCCGCCAAUGCCUAGCUUCAAACUAACUCCCUUCUAGUCAAGUCUGAUUCCUCUGAGAAAAUAGUACAAAAAAGAGGCCAGCUGGAAGGUAAGAGUGAGAAGCACCAGCGAGAGUCUUAUUGGCAUUGGUAGCAGUCUUUUGAUCGGAGUGGGAAUGGGAAGUAGCUCCCAAAAACAGGACUUGAGCUAGCAACUGGGAAUAUAGAAAUUGACUCCUUAUUCACUAACCUUCCUUGCUUUCAAGCCAAUACCAUUUUCUUUUAGCCUCUUUCUCUCAAGUCGGAAUCCAACAAGUAAGUUUCAACCUAUAAGCAAGGGUAUUUGCUAUCAAACCAAAGAAGUACUGUUAUAGUGUCAAAUACACUAAUCCAUUUAUCGGGAAAACAAGAGAAAGGGAAUCCGACCCCAAAGUAAGCCUCGAGCUACGGAUAAUCAGAAUAACUUGAGGCAAGAAUAAAGAACAGGAAAAGUGCUGACAAGACCUCCGCUACUGCUUAAAGAAUAUAACUGCGACUGAUGAGAAUAGAUCUACUUGCUUUGAUUCCAUAUCUCCUUACUUUUAUUCCUGUACUUACUUAUUUGAUUCUUUCUAUUACAAGAACUAGGUUUGUUAGGCGAUACAGAGAACUCGGUUGUCUGCUAGGUAGGGCUGACUCGGUUUUCUGCUAGGUAGGGCUGACGCUGACUAGGUAUGUGUAAAUUAUGUUUUUCAUUGUUUUCAUCCCAUAGUAGAGUAGUUAAGUUCAUCGACCGCAGACGCAGGCAUCUAAGGUACCUUGCAUAUGCAUUGAUGGGUCAGGCAAUAAUGAGGUCCUGUGUAGGUCAUUCAUUCUUAAGGUAGGGUCGCUCGGUCUUCAAUAAAUAACGGUAGGUUCACUCGGGCUAUGCUAUCUCUCAUUACUACUACCCGCACAUCACAUAUGUAGUUCCCCCAUAGGGAUUAGGCUCCUGACUUAUACUCCUUCUUUACUGUAUCCAAGGUUGCCACUACCACUUCUAAUACGGUAACUAGAAAGUCAGAUUGAAAGAAGUACUACUAAACUACUUCCAUAAGAAUAGAAAAAGAAAUAAGGAAUCGCACUACUGCCUCUUAUCUUAGCCCCACUCUUACAUCCAUUGCUUGAAACCUACAUUUCACAUUGGAUCCUUCUACUGGGGCUGUCGCUACCUACUCUCAAACUUGGUAUACUAGUGCUUAACGGUGCUUUCAAGACUCUAUCCUCAAAUACAGAAAUGAACUAUCGAUAACAAGAACACCCUUCCUCACUAUAGGUCUGCUUUCCUCCGAUACAUUGACAUCUAAAUCUUAUUCCUCCGCUAACAGGAAUGCAAUUAGCAAUCAAGAAAGAAACUAGUGCUCUCGUACUUGGACUGGUGCUUCUAAUAAUCAAACCAGGGGUAAGGAAUACUACUUCUAGCUUCCAACUGAUGAGAAUGGAUCUACUUCACUCUUAUUCUUGAACUUAUAAGCCUUCCCGGAAGUCUUGUUUGUUAGUUUGAGCUCGACACUUUACGAUUAGCUAUCAACACGAAAGAAGUGAUUUUCUAGUGUUAUUUACACUAAUAUCUUUAUCGGUAAAGCAAGAAAGGUAGAGCGGGGGAAUAAGGGAGGAUUGCCCAAGUAGGCUAAGAAUAAAGCCAGCAC